Molecule: ribosomal RNA, 322 nt
Filed under: Sandonidae sp.
Lineage: Eukaryota; Cercozoa; Glissomonadida; Sandonidae
Description: SSU rRNA
Rfam family: Eukaryotic small subunit ribosomal RNA (bases 112-322)
Source: RNAcentral
GAUUUCUGGCUUGAAACAUUUUGCCGGCCACGGUUUCGUGUGUUAGUGCUUGAUGUUCUGGCCAUCCUUCCAAUCGCUAUAUACCUUUCUUCAUUGGUUGGUGUGUGGUAUUGGAUCUUUUACUUUGAAAAAAUUAGAGUGUUUCAAGCAGGCUUUAUGCUAUGAAUACAUUAGCAUGGAAUAAUAAUUUAGGACUUCGGUUCUAUUUUGUUGGUUUCUAGGACUGAAGUAAUGAUUGAUAGGGACAGUUGGGGGUGCUAGUAUUCAGCGGCCGGAGGUGAAAUUCUUGGAUUCGCUGAAGACUAACUUAUGCGAAAGCAUU